This is a long non-coding RNA of Brienomyrus brachyistius, 1238 nucleotides long. RefSeq lists it as uncharacterized. The record is from RefSeq and is a predicted model, not a curated record. The transcript has 3 exons. Lineage: Eukaryota; Metazoa; Chordata; Actinopteri; Osteoglossiformes; Mormyridae.
UUGCAAUUUAUUCAGGUUAGUUAUUUGUAUGUGGUUGUUGUGUACAAGAAAUGUUAUAAAAGUGAGUUGACAUACACAUUUUAUUAGAGCAGCUGCCGAUGUGGCAUUUGUGUUCAUCAAACUUAAAUAUUUAAAAAUUAUUGUAAGUUGGCAUUAUCCUUUUUUCACUGGCGGGGACUUUCCCACGCAGGUGCAGCAUUUUUCUCGGCUGUUGUUCGCUGCAGCGGAUCUGGAUUUCAGGGACUGGUUAACACGGACCCAUCUGCCUCUGUGGAGAAAAGGAGAGAAGUGGUCCUGAGAUGCCUGAUUGAGUACAUGGGGGAGAGACAGGAAGACCUCAUCAGUGUCCACCACAGUCAUGAUGAAACAGAGGUGCACGCUGAGCUUGGCAGUUGCCCACUAAAAAUGUACAUAUGCCAUCAGCCCGACAUGAUUGGGAUUAUCAUAGAAGGACAGCCUGUGGUCAGAGGUGUGCCAAACCUGUCGAAAGCAUGCUGCCUCCUGUUUGGACUUACCUAUGCCCUCGACCUCAAGUAUCCCUCAAAAAUGGUGUAUACUUUUGUGUAUAUAUAUAUAUAUAUAUAUAUAUAUGUAUAUAUAUAUAUGUAUGUAUAUAUAUAUUAUAUCUCUUUGUGGGAUUGGACCCCAUGCGUCCUAAGCCAUCAUCCAAGUAUGCAAACCUCCUUACCAAGUUGUCUUAGAUUAUUUCUCAGUGGCAUCUGACAUUUAUUGGCUGUUUUGUAGUCCCUGUUAAAAGUGAAACUGGUUGACAUUGAAUAAAUGUUAUUGUUUUCAAUCUAUCUUCCCAUCUUUUUCUUCUUCAAUUUAAUUUGUAACUGUUUUUGACAAAGCCUGUUUAUGUACAGUUAAUCACUGUAGUACUUAGACUAUAUAGCCAUUUAGAUUUUUUUCUGAGGUUAUAGACAGGACUCAAUUAAAAUGUUUAUUCACAUUUGAUUAGGUUAAUUGUACUGAGAAAAUAAAGUUAAUAAAACCUAAUUAAAUGAGUACAGGUUACUUGUAGCAACCCAUAAAUAAGUUACCUGUACCAAUAAAAGUAGGUUUAUCUAACUGAGCAAUACUAGUACUAUUAGUUAACUCAACUUGAUUUUGUUGUGUUUGUAUUAAGUAAUGUUACAGUGUUUAUUACACUUAAAAAAGGCUGCAAGUUGACUCAACUUAAAACAUCCAAUGCAGCCACUUGCCUCACUUUUUAUAAGUUAGAUCUAGGUAUUACU